CCUACGGGAGGCAGCAGUGGGGAAUAUUGCACAAUGGGGGAAACCCUGAUGCAGCGACGCCGCGUGAGUGAAGAAGUAUUUAGGUAUGUAAAGCUCUAUCAGCAGGGAAGAAAAUGACGGUACCUGAUUAAGAAGCCCCGGCUAACUACGUGCCAGCAGCCGCGGUAAUACGUAGGGGGCAAGCGUUAUCAGGAUUUACUGGGUGUAAAGGGGGCGUAGACGGCAGCACAAGUCUGGAGUGAAAUGCCGGGGCUUAACCCCGGAACUGCUUUGGAAACUGUGCAGCUAGAGUGCAGGAGAGGUAAGUGGAAUGCCUAGUGUAGCGGUGAAAUGCGUAGAUAUUAGGAGGAACACCAGUGGCGAAGGCGGCUUACUGGACUGUAACUGACGUUGAGGCUCGAAAGCGUGGGGAGCAAACAGGAUUAGAUACCCUUGUAGUC
This 440-nucleotide ribosomal RNA is filed under the name uncultured bacterium. Its description in RNAcentral is "partial 16S ribosomal RNA". It matches the Rfam family "Bacterial small subunit ribosomal RNA", at positions 338 to 795 of the family's 1533-position model. The record is from RNAcentral.